Molecule: signal recognition particle RNA, 224 nt
Filed under: fish gut metagenome
Description: Bacterial large signal recognition particle RNA
Rfam family: Bacterial large signal recognition particle RNA
About the family: The signal recognition particle (SRP) is a universally conserved ribonucleoprotein involved in the co-translational targeting of proteins to membranes. Archaeal SRP consists of a 7S RNA and homologues of the eukaryotic SRP19 and SRP54 proteins.
Source: RNAcentral
UGCUAGAUGGGGAAUUAGCGGUGCCCUGUAACAUGCAAUCCGCUACAGCAUGAUUGAAUGCCCCGUAUAGGCAACGUAUGGUGAAUGCAGACUGAUGUGUGGGAUGUUGAUUUCAAGGUCUUAUGCAACAAGUCCAAGCGAACCGUGUCAGGACAGGAAUGUAGCAGCACUAAACUUGUGCACUUGUGUGCCAUAAGGUAGCUUUGUAGGAGUUACCUAUAUCU